AGGACGAACGCUGGCGGCGUGCCUAAACAUGCAAGUCGAACGGUGUAGCAAUACACAGUGGCGAACGGCGGAGUAAUACAUAAGGAACGUGCCCUGAAGACCGGGAUAGUCAUUGGAAACGAUGGGUAAUACCGGAUGUGGCCACUCUUCGGCAUCGGAGAGUGAUUAAAUGGUUUUUCGCUUCAGGAGCGUCUUAUGGCCUAUCAGGUAGUUGGUGGGUAAUGGCCUACCAAGCCGACGACGGGUAGCGGGUCUGAGAGGAUGAUCCGCUCGAGUGGGACUGAGACACGGCCCACACACCUACGGGUGGCAGCAGUUGGGAAUCUUGCACAAUGGGGGAAACCCUGAUGCAGCGACGCCGCGUGGAGGAUGACGGGUCUAGGCCUGUAAACUCCUUUUAAUGGGAAAGACUUAGGACGGUACCCAUUGAAUAAGGACCGGCUAACUACGCGCCAGCAGCCGC
This 463-nucleotide ribosomal RNA is filed under the name uncultured bacterium. Its description in RNAcentral is "SSU rRNA". It matches the Rfam family "Bacterial small subunit ribosomal RNA", at positions 26 to 518 of the family's 1533-position model. The record is from RNAcentral.